UCAAAUACUGCGUUUGUUUAUUGUACAAAUACGCAUAUUGCUAGCAUUUCAGUCCAGCAAGUUUUUUUCAAGGGGUAAAUGUUUAAACAGGCUUUAUAACACUAUCAUACAAAAACAAAGAAAACAAAUAAUCAUAUCAAUUGAAAUAAUACGGACACCAAAUCCAGGACAACAUCUUUUGAUCCUUGUUUAAAAAGGCCUGGUCCAGUUUUUAAAAAAAAUCCAAAAACAAUCCUGAUUUUCAUAUAAUCUUUCUACAACCUCAGAUGAAAUUAACAUUACCAAAGUGUUAGAAAUAUGGUCAAUGUUGUUGGGGGGGAAUGUACCAUAGAAAUGCAGGAGUUCAGCACAUUGCAACAGAUAUUGCACUCUGAAGGGAGAAUCAAAAGGCAGGAAAAUAGAACACUUGAGAGAAAAUGCAAAGCAAUUACAUUUAUCAUAAAAGAUGCUUUCUCCCACAUAGGACUAAUGCAGAUGGGCAUCAUGAUUAUGUUUUCUGGUUCAUUAAAAUAUUCAUUCAGUUUGGGCAUUAUUAUCCAUGACACCAUCUACACAUGGUAUAUGAAUAAUAUUUCAAAUCCAAAUGACAGACAAUACGAUCAUUUAGUGUCCAUGAAAAUGUGUCCAUGUCUUCUUUCAACAUGUGGUGUAUUAUGAUCCAUUUCAAAAUGUGUCCAGCAUGCCAGCAACAAGUCCACUCCGACAUUGGAUUUCACACUUAAAUAGACAUUAUAAACUGGGUAGUUUGGGUCCUGGAUGCUGGUUAGCUGAAACAGCAUUUCAGCCCUGUGUACAUCCGACAAUAUACCACAGUAUGAUGCAAAAAUACUUGUUUACUGUUCUAUUUACGAAGGUAACCAGUUUAUAAUAGCAAUAAGGCAACUCAGGGGUUUGUGGAAUAUGGCUAAUAUACCACACAUCCUGUGGCCUUAUUGCUUAAAUAUACUUAGAGACUCCAACUCAACCCAUUUUCUGGCCUGUCUUCCACAUGUCUUCUCUACACCUACAGGUUGUACUACUUCACCUGAUGAAGGCAUUUUGUGCUGGGUAUUGGCAUUUAAACUGAUAUCAACCCCCC
Molecule: long non-coding RNA, 1078 nt
Organism: Oncorhynchus tshawytscha (Chinook salmon)
Lineage: Eukaryota; Metazoa; Chordata; Actinopteri; Salmoniformes; Salmonidae
Source: Ensembl